Molecule: long non-coding RNA, 1155 nt
Organism: Homo sapiens (human)
Lineage: Eukaryota; Metazoa; Chordata; Mammalia; Primates; Hominidae
Gene: UCA1
Product: urothelial cancer associated 1
Source: Ensembl
GCUGACUCUCUUUUCAGACUCAGCCCACUUGCACCCAAGUGAAUUAACAGCCUUGUUGCUCACACAAAGCCUGUUUAGGUGGUCUUCUAUACGGACAUGCUUGACACUUGGUGCCAAAAUCUGGGCCAGGGGGACUCCUUCGUGAGACCGGCCCCCUGUCCUGGCCCUCAUUCCGUGAAGAGAUCCACCUGCGACCUCGGGUCCUCAGACCAGCCCAAGGAACAUCUCACCAAUUUCAAAUCGGAUCUCCUCGGCUUAGUGGCUGAAGACUGAUGCUGCCCGAUCGCCUCAGAAGCCCCUUGGACCAUCACAGAUGCCGAGCUUCGGGUAACUCUUACGGUGGAGGCACACCAACUGCCGUCCAUCUGCAGGACCCUCUCCAUUGGGUUCACCAUUCCAGAAUAAAGCCAUGCCCAUCAGACAGCCAGCUUGAUCUCUCCUCUUCCUCCUGGAAGCCACAAGAUUAGGCCGAGAGCCGAUCAGACAAACAACCUACAACCCUUAAGCUCCUGGCAGCGCCCAGCCAAGGCCAUGCUUCCUUGCAACACUCCUUCCAAAUGGCCAUCCCAGCAUGCUUCCAAGCAGGCUUCAUCCGUUCCUCUGGACCCUCAUCUCUUAAGACCUGCCGCCUAUAAAAAGGAUUAUAUCUUGAGACCCUAUCCUCUAAAAUUUUUUCCACACCCAAAACAAAAAAUCUCUGGGUCAAAAGUCUAAAACGCUUAGGCUGGCAACCAUCAGAUCCUUGCCCAUGGUGUCCUCAAGCCUACUCUCAUGAAAUGGACAACAGUACACGCAUAUGGGGCCAGUUCCACAUAUUUGGCAACCAGACCAGCAUCCAGGACAACACAAAGUAUGUUGUUUGUUGUUAGAGGGCUUGGGACAUUUCACUCUUUGCCAGCCUCAGCUUAAUCCAGGAGACAAAGAUUAUUUUCCUUAUUAUCUCUUCUGCAUAGGAUCUGCAAUCAGAACUAUUGAACUUCUCCAUUCAGACCGCCACUCACACCUAUGGGAAAAGGGUAAUGUAUCAUCGGCUUAGCAACAGGGAAUACUAUUCGUAUGAUGGAAAAUGGGGACAAAAGGCUUUGGUACAUAAAACAUUAUUCCUUCCUUGGCCUAAAAACUCAUCGCCACCUACAUUAAAGCUAAUAUGCCUGA